GUGUGAGAGACGACAGACUGGAUUGAGAUAUGACCGGCCACCUCUCGAAAUGAGAGAUGACUUAGCGUUCCGUAGGUGAACCUGCGGAAGGAUCAUU
This 97-nucleotide ribosomal RNA is filed under the name Everhartia hymenuloides. RNAcentral's name for it is "partial 18S ribosomal RNA". Lineage: Eukaryota; Fungi; Ascomycota. The record is from RNAcentral.